This 1164-nucleotide long non-coding RNA is filed under the name Sinocyclocheilus rhinocerous. RNAcentral describes it as "lncRNA (ENSSRHG00000043730.1)". Lineage: Eukaryota; Metazoa; Chordata; Actinopteri; Cypriniformes; Cyprinidae. The record is from RNAcentral.
CUGAUUCAUCCUUAUAAGAAAGAGGCUAACACACAAACACAAGCAUGAUUAGCAUUCAUGUUCAUAAUCAGUCUGUGUGAUAGCGGCUCGCUGUCAGAGAUGUGCUCAGCACUAGUGAAACAGACGGACCUUCUCUCCGGUCAUGGCGAAGGGAGCGUUGAACCACUGCUCAAACGUGCUGCAGCUCUUGAAGAUGGUGGGCAGCAGGAAGUUGAGCAGCGCCCAGAGCUCGGGCAGCUUGUUCUGCAGCGGGGUCCCGGUCAGAAGCACACGCCGUGGAGCCAGAGACAGAUAUACAUCAUCCCACCAUCACUGCAGUCACAUCCAUCCAUCCAUCCAUCAGGCCAUCCAUCCAUCCAUCCAUCCAUCAGGCCAUUCAUUUACAAACAUGUGUACUGUCGGGGGUGGUGAUGCUGGAGCUGCAGGCAGGGAAACUGCAGGUUAAAACUAUCCAUCUUGUGUUGUUUUCAGCCCAGCUGAUGGGUAAAUAUAGGGCUGAACUAACCUAACCCAUGGAGUUAUGCUGCUCAUCACAGAGUCAGACGGAUGAUGACUGCUCAAACUUGAAUAAGACAAGAAAACUGUACUCGUUUUACUCAAUGUUGUUCAUUUUUUCUUUCAGGAUUUUCUUUGUAUGCAGCUAAACUGAAAACCUGUUGCUGAUAAAAAUGUACAAUUACAAUUAAACUGAACCAGAGAAAGAGAGACAGAGUGUGUUUGUCAUCAACACAUGCUGUGAACGGCCUGAGAGACACAAAGAGCUUUAUACGCUGUGAAGAACAAUAUUCACACUGGCAUCAAUCAGAAUCUGGCUGUCGAUGUAGAGAUCCUUCAUGAGAGGACUGGAUCCGCUGAACGGCACAAACACUGCACUGAAGAACUGAAACACAUGCAGAAAAUGACAAACACGCCGUAACAAAACAAGCAUAUGAUACUGAAGCACAUUAUCAAUAUCAUUAUCAAUUUACUGCAAUGGACAUAAUAAAGAGACACUCUUGAAUUUCUUCUCCCAAAAAACUCACAAUCUUGUGAAGCUGAAGAAUUUAGUGUUUUGAAGGUCAUUGUGUCAUGAAGUGUUUUUGUGUGAUGAUAGUUUGUCAUGUUAUGGUAGAAUAAGAUGAUUUUGAGACACGUACGAAUGGUUGCAGUGUGAUUUAGGACAGG